RNAcentral lists this ribosomal RNA (927 nucleotides) under uncultured beta proteobacterium. RNAcentral's name for it is "bacterial SSU rRNA". It matches the Rfam family "Bacterial small subunit ribosomal RNA", at positions 58 to 980 of the family's 1533-position model. Lineage: Bacteria; Pseudomonadati; Pseudomonadota; Betaproteobacteria. The record is from RNAcentral.
CAAGUCGAGCGGCAGCGCGGGGGCAACCCUGGCGGCGAGCGGCGAACGGGUGAGUAAUACAUCGGAACGUGUCCAGUAGCGGGGGAUAACCUGUCGAAAGAUAGGCUAAUACCGCAUACGACCUACGGGUGAAAGCGGGGGACCGCAAGGCCUCGCACUAUUGGAGCGGCCGUUGUCGGAUUAGCUAGUUGGCGGGGUAACGGCCCACCAAGGCGACGAUCCGUAGCUGGUCUGAGAGGACGAUCAGCCACACUGGAACUGAGACACGGUCCAGACUCCUACGGGAGGCAGCAGUGGGGAAUUUUGGACAAUGGGCGCAAGCCUGAUCCAGCCAUGCCGCGUGAGUGAAGAAGGCCUUCGGGUUGUAAAGCUCUUUCGGCGGGGACGAAACGGUUCGUGCCAACACCGCGAACUAAUGACAGUACUCGCAGAAGAAGCACCGGCUAACUACGUGCCAGCAGCCGCGGUAAUACGUAGGGUGCAGGCGUUAAUCGGAAUUACUGGGCGUAAAGCGUGCGCAGGCGGCUCUUUAAGUCAGAUGUGAAAGCCCCGGGCUUAACCUGGGAAUUGCGUUUGAAACUGGAGAGCUGGAGUGUGGAAGAGGGGGGUGGAAUUCCAGGUGUAGCAGUGAAAUGCGUAGAGAUCUGGAGGAACACCGAUGGCGAAGGCAGCCCCCUGGGCUAACACUGACGCUCAUGCACGAAAGCGUGGGGAGCAAACAGGAUUAGAUACCCUGGUAGUCCACGCCCUAAACGAUGUCAACUGGUUGUCGGGGAAGCAAUUCCUUGGUAACGAAGCUCACGCGUGAAGUUGACCGCCUGGGGAGUACGGCCGCACGGUUAAAACUCAAAGGAAUUGACGGGGACCCCCACAAGCGGUGGAUUAUGUGGAAUUAAUUCGAUGCACCCCGAAAAACCUUACCUACCC